CAGCCGUAAACUAUGCGCGUUAGGUGUAUCGGUGACCACGAGUUACCGAGGUGCCGAAGGGAAACCGUGAAACGUGCCGCCUGGGAAGUACGGUCGCAAGGCUGAAACUUAAAGGAAUUGGCGGGGGAGCACCACAACAGGUGGAGCCUGCGGGUUAAUUGGACUCAACGCCGGGAAGCUCACCGGAUAGGACAGCAGAAUGAUUGCCGGGCUGAAGACCCUGCAUGACUAGCUGAGAGGAGGUGCAUGGCGUCAGUGACU
Molecule: ribosomal RNA, 261 nt
Filed under: uncultured archaeon
Lineage: Archaea
Description: partial 16S ribosomal RNA
Rfam family: Archaeal small subunit ribosomal RNA
Source: RNAcentral